GUUUGAUCAGCUUCGGUUUAGGCCGUGUGAUUAAGAAUUUAAGAUAAACCUUAACACUUAUGAAAGUAAUCAAGCACUAUCCGGUAGUGAAAGUUAAUAUAACAUAUAGGAUUAUAGUUUGGCCAAUAUCAUAACAACUAGGAUAUAAUUUUAUGAAUGUACAAUAUGCAGGACAAAGUACUUUGUAUCUUUUGAUAGAGUUACAUGCACUAUAAGAGAAUUAAACAUAUUAGAAAAAAGACUAGAUUAUGUAAAAUGUCAUAAUCAUAUUACUAUAAGACUAGCUAGACUGAGGUCAAAUCAAUGCAUAAAUUUAAAUCAUUAUCUCUUUUGAAUUCGAUUAUCUCCCUCACAUUUUUCAAAUUUCUCUACUCACUUUUUCUAUAAAGCGGAAACAGUAAUCGGCGGUUCAUAUGUAGUCGGCCAUUACGGACCCAUUUAAUUAGAUAAAUUAUUCUUAGCCGUCAGUUUCAUAUUUCG
Arabidopsis thaliana (thale cress) is the source of this 480-nucleotide RNA transcript. RefSeq lists it as uncharacterized. The record is from RefSeq. The transcript has a single exon. NCBI's taxonomy places the organism in Eukaryota, Viridiplantae, Streptophyta, Magnoliopsida, Brassicales, Brassicaceae.